UCCAGACUCCUACGGGAGGCAGCAGUGGGGAAUAUUGGGCAACGGGCGCAAGCCUGACCCAGCAAUGCCGCGUGAAGGAAGAAGGCUUUCGGGUUGUAAACUUCUUUGACAGGGGAAGAGCAGAAGACGGUACCCUGAAAACAAGCCACGGCUAACUACGUGCCAGCAGCCGCGGUAAUACGUAGGUGGCAAGCGUUAUCCGGAUUUAUUGGGUGUAAAGGGCGUGUAGGCGGGAGCGCAAGUCAGAUGUGAAAACUCAGGGCUCAACCCUGAGCCUGCAUUUGAAACCGUGUUUCUUGAGUGCUGGAGAGGCAAUCGGAAUUCCGUGUGUAGCGGUGAAAUGCGUAGAUAUACGGAGGAACACCAGUGGCGAAGGCGGAUUGCUGGACAGUAACUGACGCUGAGGCGCGAAAGCGUGGGGAGCAAACAGGAUUAGAUACCCGCGUAG
RNAcentral lists this ribosomal RNA (448 nucleotides) under uncultured bacterium. RNAcentral's name for it is "bacterial SSU rRNA". It matches the Rfam family "Bacterial small subunit ribosomal RNA", at positions 330 to 793 of the family's 1533-position model. The record is from RNAcentral.